Balaenoptera musculus (blue whale) is the source of this 3476-nucleotide long non-coding RNA. RefSeq lists it as uncharacterized. The transcript is spliced from 3 exons. The record is from RefSeq and is a predicted model, not a curated record. Lineage: Eukaryota; Metazoa; Chordata; Mammalia; Artiodactyla; Balaenopteridae.
CCUCCUCCUCCUCCUCCCGCCGGUCCCGCUUGCCCGGCCGGGCCAAACAGAGAUCUCAGUAGGAAUGUAAAGGCUGGAAAGGAGUUCGGUGACAUCGCACCCCCAAGAUCACCGCCUCUGAAGCUCUGUUGGUUGCUGGGAAGCCAGUGUGCGCCAGUUCACCUGCACACACCGGUUCACAGUUGUGGACGCAGGCAUCCUGCGCUGAGGAGUCACCCCGCAAAGUGGUAGCACGGGUAGAGGUCUGGGGAGGCACCUGGUGCCGCAGAAACAUCUAGAAGCUGGGCAAAGACCUCGGAGAGUGGUUACCCUGGAGAUCCUUACCCUCCGUCGGGCACACGGCUUUUUAAAUCCUGACAGGGGCAGCACCGAAAAGCGUCCCUUGGGUGCGUUGGAAGCCAGAGCGCACGUCAGGGUGCCCCACGGCCUGGAAAGAAGUUUGCUGAAGGUCUCAAGCCAACCCAUCCUCCUCCCGCAGCCACGUGAAGGAAAAUUCUGGAGAUGGGUUCUCCGGGACUGGCAACUAAUUGAAUUCCCUGAAAGAUGCUUUCUUCUCUCCCUAGACUGUGAGUUUCUGUCAACUUCCCUGCCAGUUUCAGGAAGAUAAAAUGGUACAUCAGUUCCUUGUAUUCAUAAAAGUAAUCACAAUUCGCAAAAUUGAAUCUCACCAGAAAACCCAGGUAAAGAGGUACUGAUUGUUUAUUCAUUUCACAAAUGAGGCAAGUCAGGGUGAUUUUUCCAACUAUAUAUGGCUAGUAAGAGGCCGUCCCAAAAAGAGUCUUCUCGGGCUCUGGGAGUGGUUAGUUCAUCAUCUUUAGUUUCUAUCACUGAAGUCCUGACUAUGGUUUCCAUAAAACUUCACCUUGCACUGCUCCCCUACCUCCUUGGUUGAGGGAGAUUAUCUGAAAUUAACAUUGCAACUGUCCCAGAAACUAAAACUUUCCAUAUGCUUGCAUUAAAAUAUCACUCUGAGAAUCCCCCAAAACCUUUGUGAAAAAAGCUUUGUAGUCAAAAAAAGACAGAUCAGCAGUUUUUACUAGAGAGGUUGAGUGACUCAGUCUCUCUGAGUGUCAGUUACCAAAUAUGUAAACUGGCAGGGAUGAGACCCGGACUUGCACAGUGUUAGGAUUAGAGAUAAUGUAUCUUGCACAUUUGGUGCAAGAGGUAUUCAAUCUGGCAGGUCUCACAAACAUGAUUCCUUAUAUUCCAAACUUGUAGCCAAAUGGAACAACAGAUCUCAAACUCCAGGAAGCUGAAUGCCUGGAAGUCACAAUAUUAAUAUAACUUAAUCCAUUCUCAUAACAUUUUUACUGGCAUAAAAAACAAAGGAAGAAAGGAAGGAAAGAAGGGAGGGAGGAAGGAAAAAAAAGAAGGAAGGGAGGGAGGGAAGGAAAUUCAUAUUAUACGAGUGCACCUCUCUACAUCUCAAAAAUGAUGUAUUAGUUUUGUGACAAAAUAAUAACAGUGGGUAAAUCUUGGUUAUUCAUUAGACUUUUCUCUCAUCCUUUCUGUAAAUUGAAAUUUUCAAAAAAAAAAAAAAGGUAAAAAAUAAUAAUUCACAAGGUGUUUUUAAGAAGCCCCAUUUCCAUGAGUAUAGCUUAAUGUUUGCAGUUUAUGUAUUAUGUAAGAACUGAAAUUUGAAUUGAAGCAGAUGUGAAGGGUGAGGGAAACACUGCAGCAAAAACCUAAAGCUAGUUCCUGUGCUAUCUCAGAUCCCCUCAAAAUGUUGUCCAGGAUAAUAAUGAACAAGACUUUCCAUUUUGCAAGUCAAACAUUAAGUGUGUUAAGCAAUUCCAAUGAAAAAUAUUUAUUAACUUAAUGUCGUUUCACUCCUUUCCAGGAAAAAUGAGAAAGACCCCUGGCUGGGGUUGCAGCCAUGUAAGAAUCUUUAGCAGUCUUGCUUUUGUGGGUCUGCCCUGUGUCAUCACCACCCCCAUCACACUAGGAUGUGCUUUACAGUUACUGAAGUGAGGGAAAGGCUGGGGGGAGGGGAGAGGUCGCCCGACUUGACAAAUGGGGAGGGGAAGGCUGGUAACAUCUCUGUUCCACUCUGCAGAAGCAUUCUGUCCCUGCUGACAUACCAGUAAACUGUGAUCAGGAAGUGAGGCUUUUGCUGUCUGUGAAUAUAUUGAACAUUUCACAGGAGUCAGCUGCUAAAUGCUUUCAUAGAUUAUUACUUACUUCAUACUCACAAUAAUCCCAUGAUGUAGCUACUGUUACCUUGUUUUAGAAUUCAGGAAACUGAGACUAGAGGGCUAUAAGAACUUGCCCCAGGUCACCUGGCUUUUAAGAGGCAGAAGCAGGACUGCAGUUAGGUCAGUCUGAUCCCAAACCUCUCCCACUGCCUCAGUGGCACACCUAGACCUAAGAUGCCACCUGUCUUCUUUUGCUGUGAUGCUGCCUGCAUCUUCCAGUGAAUGUAAAAUGCCCCCUGCAUUGUGAUUCAACUCUGCCGCUCAUAUUUAUCUGAAUCAGUAAAUUAAUAGGCUGGAUCCAAAUUGACGUCUUAUAAACAAGAAAAUUUAAAGAAAUUAAGCAGCCUAGCAGUGGGUAGUAGAAAGGAGCAGGAAAUAGAAACCAGGUCUCUGUCACUCUCAAACUUGCCAGGGACUCUGGCACUCUGGUUUGUUUUGUAAUAUUAAUAAAUGUUUACUGGGUUCCAGACAGUGGUUCUAGGAGCUUUCUUAUGCCUUAUUUCAUUUAAUAUCACCAGUUUGCAGACAGAGAAGCUUGAUGAACCUGUCCGAGGUCACAGGGAUAAUAAAUAGUGGAGCUGAAGUUCAGACCCUGGUCUGACUCCCUGCAACUACCUGCCCUCUGUUCAAGGUGAUUGUGAGCAUUCAUCUCUGCAGAUGGAAUCACUUAAUAUGUCCUGCUAUUCCAUAUAUGUAUAUUACUACUAUUAUUUUAAUGACAAUUUACUUAGUAGAUUAUAAAGUUUGAUAAUACUCAGAACUGGUGAAAAUGCAGGACACAAACAUUCUCAUAUACUGUGGGUGAAAUUAUCAGUUGCUGCAACCUCUUUGGAAGUGAGUUGGCACUGUCUAUUACAGUUACAACAAAGGAAACUGACUCAGUAGUUACCCUUCUAGGAAUUUAUCCUAUAGGUUUAUUCGUAGCAACAACCAAAGUUCCAUGUUCAAGGAAGUUUAUUGUGGCAUUGUUCAUAAUAGCAAAAACCAGAAACAACCAGAAUGCUAAGCAAAGGGACUGGUUGCAUAAAGGAUUGUCCCUACAUGGAAGGGAUUACAAUGUAGCCCUCAAAAAGAAGGGGGCAGGUCUGUAUGCACUGCUAGGAAGAAAUUGCCAAGACCUGUUACUAAGGAGAAAAUACAAGUUCCUCAGCAGUAUUGCAGUAUGAUUAAAUUUGUAUAAAACCAAAGAGUAUAAAACAUUCCAGGAAAAUUAUACAAGUAAUUAAUUAUUAACAGUAAUUACCUCUGGAAAUUGGGAUGGGGCAGGAACCUUUUUCUUUU